CCCUUAGAUGUCCUGGGCCGCACGCGCGUUACACUGAUGCAUUCAACGAGCUUAUAACCUUGGCCGAGAGGCCUGGGCAAUCUUGUUAACGUGCAUCGUGAUAGGAAUAGAUUAUUGAAAUUAUUAAUCUUGAACGAGGAAUUCCUAGUAAACGCAGAUCAUCAAUCUGCAUUGAUUACGUCCCUGCCCUUUGUACACACCGCCCGUCGCACCUACCGAUUGGAUGGUCCGGUGAAGCCUCGGGAUUGUGGUUCUUGCCGCUUUAUUGUGGCGUGACCGCGAGAACUUGUCUAAACCUUAUCAUCUAGAGGAAGGUGAAGUCGUAACA
Molecule: ribosomal RNA, 328 nt
Filed under: uncultured eukaryote
Lineage: Eukaryota
Description: partial 18S ribosomal RNA
Rfam family: Eukaryotic small subunit ribosomal RNA
Source: RNAcentral